CAAUAGCGUAUAUUAAAGUUGUUGCAGUUAAAAAGCUCGUAGUUGAAUUUUUGCUUGCCGCCGAUGUCGGAACUUCCGUACGUUCGGCGGCGUGCAUCCUUGGGUGGAACCUGUGUGGCAUUAGGUUGUCGUGCAGGGGAUGCUCAUCGUUUACUGUGAAAAAAUUAGAGUGUUCAAAGCAGGCUUACGCCGUUGAAUAUAUUAGCAUGGAAUAAUAAGAUAGGACCUUGGUACUAUUUUGUUGGUUUGCGCACCGAGGUAAUGAUUAACAGGGACAGUUGGGGGUAUUCGUAUUCCAUUGUCAGAGGUGAAAUUCUUGGAUUUCUGGAAGACGAACUACUGCGANANCAUUUANCAAGGAUGUUNUCAUUNA
RNAcentral lists this ribosomal RNA (373 nucleotides) under uncultured eukaryote. Its description in RNAcentral is "partial 18S ribosomal RNA". It matches the Rfam family "Eukaryotic small subunit ribosomal RNA", at positions 592 to 976 of the family's 1831-position model. The record is from RNAcentral.